GAGAUUUUCAUCUGUUGGAUGGUCAGUUGCUCCCACCCCAUCUGUAAUCAUAGCUACAGAUAAGACAUGAGACUACAGAGAUCUAGAUGCUGGUGAAAACCUCCAACCAUUCUUCAUCCUAGUAGACUGCAAAUAUCAACAUAUCAGAGAAUUCCCAGACAAGCUGGAAACAUUUUCAGCAUUUGUGAAAACAUCACUAAGGCCAGUAGGCAGUUGUAGAAAUCAGAAUCAAACCAGCCUGCUCCCUGUUAUGCAAGGGCUCAGAGAGAUGCCAGGGAAAGAAAGCUAAAACUGCGACGAAGAAGUGCCUCACACUGUAGCUCAGCCACACAGAACUAUGAUGACUUGAAGUUGCUGGUGCACCGGCAUUUUUAAAGGAACUAAUCAGGAUUUUACCACUUACCUACCUGCUUUCCCCUAAAAUAUUAACCCACAUUGUUACAAGGGAUAAAAACGUUACCACAGUUCUACUGAGAAGGCAUCUCUGAAAUAAACUCCACUACCUUUGAAGUAAAACCA
RNAcentral lists this long non-coding RNA (519 nucleotides) under Phasianus colchicus (ring-necked pheasant). Its description in RNAcentral is "lncRNA (ENSPCLG00000002987.1)". Lineage: Eukaryota; Metazoa; Chordata; Aves; Galliformes; Phasianidae. The record is from RNAcentral.